This 1832-nucleotide long non-coding RNA is filed under the name Homo sapiens (human). RNAcentral's name for it is "HSALNT0302214". Lineage: Eukaryota; Metazoa; Chordata; Mammalia; Primates; Hominidae. The record is from RNAcentral.
CACUGCACCCAGCCAGAAAUGUUUGCUUUUGUUAUUAUUGCCACACAUAUGCCUCAUCUUGCUCAUUUAUUCCACAUGAAUAGGAUUUGUGUGCCAAUGAGAUGACAAGCUUCCUGUACCCUUUCCUCCCCAACACACACAGACACCCAGUCCAGCCUGGUGUGCUCAAGCAAGAGCAGCUCAGACCCUGCUCAGCCUUUUGCUUGUGAAGUAAGCUUGGGCAAAUUAUUAAACCCCUGCAAUCCGGCAUGGUCAUUUAUAAAAGGGAGCUAAGAAUAACCUGCUUCACAGAGUGGCAUAGAAUUUACAUGAAAUUUAGAUAAAGCUACUAGUAAAUAUCAGCAAAGCUCAGUGCCUGGCCUACUACAGGCACUUAAUGAACGUAUUAAUGAAUAUUUGUAGUAGGCACUGAAUGAAUGUUUGUUCUCCCCGGUACUGGGCAAACAACAGCUCAGUAAACACUUGGCAGCUUCAGGUCAGUCCUGAAGAGCAUGUGUUAAAGGGGGUGGUGGCAUCAAGUGACCAGCCCCACCCUCCACCGCUGGCCACACCUUCCCUAGUGACCACACUGAGAAAACACUUAGAUGGACCGAUGGGUGUGAAUCCCUUGAGAGCAAGGCUGCAUCUUCUCUCUUGCACUUGCCAGCAUCUGGCACAGCUGGGUAUUAAUCACACAAGACACAACUCCAGCGGUGGCGGCCCUGGAUGUCUGAAAUGCUGUCCAGAACAUUGAGAGAAAGCCAAAGAAGGAAAGCUGCCCUCAAACAUGCCCAGGAUCUUGCUGGAGAUGGAAACUAACAAGGAUGGAAACAUGACAGCAGAAAAAUACAGACCAGUUUGAAGUCUGCCCACCUGGGAGUCAAGCCACAUUGAAAAUCAAUAAGGCAUCAAGGCCGGGAGCUCGGAGAGCCGACUGGAUACCUGCGUGGGCCUCCUUUAAAGAGGUGAAAGCUUUGAAGUUGCAGACGACCAAUAAAAAUACAGCUGGCAUUUACAGCUUCAACUCCUCCUGCUUUUGCUUUUCACCGUGUUGCUAAAGCUGCCUACAAAGCUGCUCCAGGCCGGACUCUUGGCCCAGGUUGACAGAGCCCAUUCCCAUUCCAUGGACAAUAACAGGGGCUCUUGGUGUCCUCUGGCCAGGGAUUGGUGAUCAACUUUAGGCACGCUGGCAAUUUCCCAGGACAACCCCGUCUUAGGUUCUGAACAUCAGAGGCAAUGGCUAAGGUCCCCCAAAGCACUUUGGAAUGAGCCCAGGAAGUUGACCUUUGAAGCACUCUCCUGCUCUUGGGGCCAUGUCAUCAGGAAGAAACUCCAGGCUGAAAACACAACUGCAAGGCCAACAGGCAGGGGAGCAGCUUUCUCAGGACACCUGAGGUCCUGCCCCACCAGGCUCUGGUCUUUACACACCAUCUCUCACUGUCCUCUAGCCCCAACUGCACAUUGCCUUCCUCCUUCCUGAGCUCAUGCUUGCCCCUCCCUCGGCAUCUCCCUAGCCCCAGCCUGAAGGCUGACCUCCUCCAGAAAGCCUCUCCCUCACCACGAGGCCAGAAAGAGUCUGUCCUGUCUCUAGCUUCUGAGUUUCUUAGUCCCAACGACUGUCCCUGCUCCACUGACACCUUCCAUACACAGCUUUGUGAGCUGUGCGCAUCUGUGGGUACCAGAGGGUAAGUUCGAGGGCCAGCUGACGCCUACUGUCUCUACUGUCUCACAGAUCUGCAUUGGGUUUCCUUGGUCCCAAUCCCCCACAGACACACACACAUGUACACACUCACACACACAACGCUGGACCAAUAGAGAGAACUUUAUCAGUAAAAUGUAACUAUUUCAUUACA